UACGUAGGCAGCGAGCGUUGUUCGGAAUUACUGGGCGUAAAGAGUGUGUAGGCGGUGCUCUAAGUUCGGUGUGAAAUCUCCUGGCUCAACUGGGAGGGUGCGCCGAAAACUGGGAGACUAGAGUGCGGGAUGGGAGAGUAGAAUUCCUGGUGUAGCGGUGAAAUGCGUAGAUAUCAGGAGGAAUACCGGUGGUGUAGACGGCUCUCUGGACCGCCACUGACGCUGAGACACGAAAGCGUGGGUAGCAAACAGG
RNAcentral lists this ribosomal RNA (253 nucleotides) under uncultured bacterium. RNAcentral describes it as "partial 16S ribosomal RNA". It matches the Rfam family "Bacterial small subunit ribosomal RNA", at positions 524 to 776 of the family's 1533-position model. The record is from RNAcentral.